RNAcentral lists this unclassified non-coding RNA (407 nucleotides) under fungal sp. RNAcentral describes it as "partial internal transcribed spacer region". The stretch from base 1 to 46 matches the Rfam family "Eukaryotic small subunit ribosomal RNA", at positions 1786 to 1831 of the family's 1831-position model. The record is from RNAcentral. Lineage: Eukaryota; Fungi.
AAGUCGUAACAAGGUUUCCGUAGGUGAACCUGCGGAAGGAUAACAUCCAACGCCCCCGUGAACGUACAUUCCUUCUCCGCUUACAGAAAAUUGGUUGCAAUCCCUGGUCUUCUAACACGUAAGUGUUUAACCCAGAGGAAAGUAGACGAGAGUUCGACUAUCCCAAGGUGUUGAGUGCGCUUUCGAUUUUGAACGUAAUCAGGGGGUUGUGAAGGUGUUCAACCUGAUUAUUUUUAUCUUUGGACUGCUUUAACGAGCGGGUAUCGGAUCCUGGGCGUCGUUCCUCUAGGAACGAGUACACGUCCCUCUUCCCUUGAAACGACAGGGUGUCGCGAAAACGUGGUAAGGCAUGAUUUUACUUCCGAAAGGUCAAGUACUAACUGAACAACUGUUAACAAUGGGUUCUC